This is a non-coding RNA of Odocoileus virginianus texanus, 419 nucleotides long. Lineage: Eukaryota; Metazoa; Chordata; Mammalia; Artiodactyla; Cervidae. The record is from RefSeq and is a predicted model, not a curated record.
CUACGGUUCCCAGCUCCGGCCCAAACUACUUUUGGAGCCUACCCAAACAGGCCAGCCCCCGCCCCUGGCGGUUGUGCCAAGAUCUAGAGGCUGCUAGAUGGCUGGCAGUUCUGGGAGCCAGCCAGGGUUCCUGCUGGCCGCAUCCCAUCCAGAGGUGACGACCUGUCUACCCAGUAACCAGAGGAGGAAGCCCACACUCUCCACCUGGUGGAAUCAGACAGCCCAGGUUCAAGACUCCAGCCUGCUCCUUUUGGCCCUGUUUGCAUCCAGGUGGAGGUUCCCAGAUGACAUAUCACCUGUAAUAUAUCAAAAACGUGGAAAUCUGUUUCCCCAAACAAAGUCUUGGAAUUAUCUCAUGGGCCAAACCUCCAUUGUUGUUGUUGAGUCCCUAAGUCGUGUCUGACUCUUUGUGACCCCAU